CGCGUAGGUGGUUUGGUAAGCGAUAUGUGAAAGCCCUGGGCUCAACCUAGGAACUGCAUGUCGAACUGUCAGGCUAGAGUAUGGUAGAGGGGUGUGGAAUUUCCUGUGUAGCGGUGAAAUGCGUAGAUAUAGGAAGGAACAUCAGUGGCGAAGGCGACACCCUGGACCGAUACUGACACUGAGGCGCGAAAGCGUGGUAGCGAACA
Molecule: ribosomal RNA, 206 nt
Filed under: uncultured bacterium
Lineage: Bacteria
Description: partial 16S ribosomal RNA
Rfam family: Bacterial small subunit ribosomal RNA
Source: RNAcentral